AAAACCUAGUCUCAGUUCGGAUCGGAGUCUGCAACCCGACUCCGUGAAGCUGGAUUCGCUAGUAAUCGCGCAUCAGCCAUGGCGCGGUGAAUACGUUCCCGGGCCUUGUACACACCGCCCGUCAAGCCAUGGGAGCCGGGAGUGCCUGAAGUCCGUGACCGCGAGGAGCGGCCUAGGGUAAGACCGGUGACUGGGGCUAAGUCGUAACAAGGUACC
RNAcentral lists this ribosomal RNA (216 nucleotides) under uncultured bacterium. Its description in RNAcentral is "partial 16S ribosomal RNA". It matches the Rfam family "Bacterial small subunit ribosomal RNA", at positions 1277 to 1500 of the family's 1533-position model. The record is from RNAcentral.